This 398-nucleotide ribosomal RNA is filed under the name Amaricoccus sp. HAR-UPW-R2A-40. RNAcentral's name for it is "Bacterial large subunit ribosomal RNA". It matches the Rfam family "Bacterial large subunit ribosomal RNA", at positions 1992 to 2391 of the family's 2925-position model. Lineage: Bacteria; Pseudomonadati; Pseudomonadota; Alphaproteobacteria; Rhodobacterales; Paracoccaceae. The record is from Rfam by way of RNAcentral.
ACGAAUGGCGUAACGACUUCCCCGCUGUCUCCAACGCAGACUCAGCGAAAUUGAAUUCCCCGUGAAGAUGCGGGUUCCCGCGGUCAGACGGAAAGACCCGUGCACCUUUACUACAGCUUCACACUGGCAUCAGGCCAGGCAUGUGCAGGAUAGGUGGCAGGCUUUGAAACAGGGACGCCAGUUCCUGCGGAGCCGUCCUUGAGAUAUCACCCUUGCCUUGCCUGAUGUCUAACCGCGGACCGUCAUCCGGUUCCGGGACCCUGUGUGGCGGGUAGUUUGACUGGGGCGGUCGCCUCCCAAAAAGUAACGGAGGCGCGCGAUGGUGGGCUCAGGUUGGUCGGAAAUCAACCGUCGAGUGCAAUGGCAUAAGCCCGCCUGACUGCGAGACUGACAAGUCG